CCCAGCCACGACACUGAACCCUGGGCUGGGUCUUGGUGAACUUGCACUCAAAGGAGCGAUCUGGGAAGUGAAGUUAUAGGAGAUGAUUGUCUCUUUAUCUGCUACCAGGAGAGUCCUCGGACUGUCACACUUGACCUUAUUGAAUCAUCGCCCCCAGCCUUCCACUGUCUUUCUCAAAUGCAUCAGUGGUUCUCAGCAACAGCCAUCCUACUCCUGUUUCUCCCCACUGCCAGCUUCCCAAAGACCUGAGACACUGCCCUCCAAGUGCAUCCCUGUCCAUGGGCAUUCCAUCCAAGUUCAUCGUGGGACUCAGAAUGAUUGCACGGCUCACCUGGGCCAUCAGGGCUCCACCACGGUGACGGAGUCCUCAUGGCCACUGGCUGGUGAGUGAUCUAACUCCAAAAUCCUAAGCAGAGUUGGCUUCCCCAGACCGCAUGUGUACGUUGGCAGUGAUAGCGACCCCACAAGGACAGAGGAACCCACUGUCC
Non-coding RNA from Leptonychotes weddellii (Weddell seal), 488 nucleotides. NCBI's taxonomy places the organism in Eukaryota, Metazoa, Chordata, Mammalia, Carnivora, Phocidae. The record is from RefSeq and is a predicted model, not a curated record.